This 268-nucleotide long non-coding RNA is filed under the name Malus domestica (apple). RNAcentral describes it as "long non-coding RNA (MDOM_LNC006628)". Lineage: Eukaryota; Viridiplantae; Streptophyta; Magnoliopsida; Rosales; Rosaceae. The record is from RNAcentral.
GUGUGCGAUCCAUUAGGUUCAUUUUAGCGAGGUAGUGGGCGAUUAAAACCAUUUAACAUCGAUUGUGAAUUGAAACUAUUUUCAAUUCUCCCUUUAGUGAUUAUACACGUUUAGGGCUUCCAUAAACCAUGAGUGACACCUAGCAGCAUAUCAUGGCUACCCAAGCUAAUCAGAAGAGGUUUAGAGAACCUAUUCAGUUAGGGAUUACAAAUGCAAUACGGUCCUUCUCUAAUCUAAUACUCUUGACCACAUUGUUUGGUUUGAUAGU